AGUGAACGCUGGCGGUAGGCCUAACACAUGCAAGUCGAACGGCAGCACAGUAAGAGCUUGCUCUUACGGGUGGCGAGUGGCGGACGGGUGAGGAAUACAUCGGAAUCUACUUUUUCGUGGGGGAUAACGUAGGGAAACUUACGCUAAUACCGCAUACGACCUACGGGUGAAAGCAUGGGAUCUUCGGACCUUGCGCGAUUGAAUGAGCCGAUGUCGGAUUAGCUAGUUGGCGGGGUAAAGGCCCACCAAGGCGACGAUCCGUAGCUGGUCUGAGAGGAUGAUCAGCCACACUGGAACUGAGACACGGUCCAGACUCCUACGGGAGGCAGCAGUGGGGAAUUUUGGACAAUGGGCGCAAGCCUGAUCCAGCCAUACCGCGUGGGUGAAGAAGGCCUUCGGGUUGUAAAGCCCUUUUGUUGGGAAAGAAAAGCAGCAGGUUAAUACCCCGCUGUUCUGACGGUACCCAGAGAAUAAGCACCGGCUAACUUCGUG
Molecule: ribosomal RNA, 492 nt
Filed under: uncultured bacterium
Lineage: Bacteria
Description: partial 16S ribosomal RNA
Rfam family: Bacterial small subunit ribosomal RNA
Source: RNAcentral